Molecule: long non-coding RNA, 1020 nt
Organism: Pseudoliparis swirei
Lineage: Eukaryota; Metazoa; Chordata; Actinopteri; Perciformes; Liparidae
Exons: 3
Source: RefSeq, a predicted model, not a curated record
UGUGUGAUGCCAGUCAAGGCCUGAACACAUUCACAUGAAGAAACAAGCACAUUUCUUCCAGGAACACCUAUUGAUCACCUAUUGAGAAGUAAAAUAACCAUAAUUUUUUCACUUUCACGAUAGGCUUGCUUCUCUUAGUCGGUCAAUCAGAUCGGCUUCAAAUUUGUAACACACAAUCCAAACAUUGUCAUGAUGUCAGCCCACAACAUCAAACAACGAAGGGGCUUUGGAGAGACUAAACAUGCUCCCUGUGAAAAUACCCUUGGCAAACAUAUUAAGAAUCAAAGAUGUAGUUAUUACCAGGUGUUCAUUAUAUUGAUGAAUAUAUAACCCUUUAAAACUGUCCACAAAUAGCUUUAACUCAAUAGGACAUAUUUGUUAUUUAUUGGGAACCCUCUCUCUGACUUAAUAACUUGAUACACGAAGCUUAUAGGGUUUUAUUGAAAGUAUGGAGGCUUUUGAGUAAUUAAAUUGAAUCAAAACACCUGUAAUUUACUCCGGUACUUUAAAUUAUGUAACCAUAAGAUUUUAUUGGAGAUUAAUAGGACCCCCUCUCCCCUGAGGAAGGCCAUUAGACUUGGCAUUUACGUCACAAACCGGAAACGGAAGGAAUUACUCCCGCUAGAUAAUCCCCGCGAAAAAAGCCCCCACCUUUUUACUCGCUCUCGUCUCCGGUCUUUAAACCGGCACUGCAGACAGAGAGGACGCGGACUCGCUCCAAGUCCUUUUAAACGGGUAAGAAACCUUAACACUCAAACUGUAAUGAUUGAUUAUAUAUAUGCACGGAAUUAUUGAUAGCCAAAAUAACUCUUUUAAUGACUUUCUCCGCCGCGCGCUCGGCACUCCGCUGCUUUGCGGACCCGCGCGCUGCACUGAAGGUGACUCGGGACUCUUCCGGGUCCUUCCAACGGGAUUAUUGUGCACCCCGGAACUGGGUACGUGACAGGAGCCAUGUUGCGUCAAAAGGUCCGGAUCGACUACGAACAGGACGUGGCACUAAGGAGGAUUGUCCAGCCGUGG